AUUCUGCUUCAAAAAAUUUGGGGGAAAAACACCCACUCCCUCCCCGUGUAACUGAACCCUAGCCUCCCACUAAUCAACUUCUCUCUCAUUCAAUUCAUAUUCUCGAAAAAUCACAGAUCUAUCAACUGAUUUCAACCAGAGAUCGAGGACUCUUUGGUUUCUAUUCGGGUUUUCCUACGUUUCAAGAUUGAAGAUUUGGAAGAUAGCUCGGGAAAUCGUUAACCGUGUUUGGUUGUAGGUAAUGAAAUUUAUUAUUAAAUAUUCGAGUUUGAUUCAGAUUUGUGUAUUUAUAGUUUAUCUGGUCAAUGGCUCCUGAUGAUAUCAAGGAGAAGGCCAACAAAGAAGGCAAGACUUCAGUCAUUGAUGUCACUCAGUUCGUUUUUUUAAGGUUUUUGGGUUUUAUCUGAGGAUUUCACUACAACAAAACACGCUAAUUCUCGACGACAUGAGCUCGACGCGAUACGUACAACGUUGGGGAAAAUUUUGAGGGAUUGCCUCUGUUCCAGGCCUGCCAGCUAUGGAGAUGACCAAGCGGCUCAACAUCAUGAACUUGCUCUUCCCACAAGGGAUUGAAUGAAUACACCAAAAAUCAAGGAAAAUUCGACAGCCAGUGUACCAAGGCCUAACCCUCAAGGUCUUAUCAUGCGUACCAUCAGGACAACAAAUUCUGAUCCAAUGAUAACCCUCAAGAUUCUUAUGAGGCAUUGAGAGAGCAUUGACUAAUGCGAUUAAUUUUAUGAUACUAGAUCUUGGAUGUAAUUGAGUUUGAUAAGUUGUUGAGAAAUUUUUUGCAGCAUCACUCUAGCUUGUGUCUUUUGUAAAUUGUGUUCAGAGGCUGCAAGAUGGGAUUGUGUGCUUCAAGAGUAAGUUUAUGCGAAUCCCUUUUAACACUAUUUUGAACAACUCUCAAUGGAUGGAUUUUGUUAUCAUUAUGUUUAAUGCCUUAUCUAACCAUCUUUGAACUAAACCCCUCUCCUCAAUUUAUCUGAAUCCCUUUAUUAAUACUGUUUUGAACAACUCUCAAUGUACGCUUUCAUGUUUAUAUUCAACUCUAGUUUGUAACUGAAGUAGUAUGCUAAUGUUAUGUUGUCUUUGUUACUAAGGUGCUCAGAUCAUCAGGACCUGAUCUGUUCUGGUGAGUUGUGUUCAUUAUGUUCUGAAAUUAUAGUUUAUAUAGUGUGUGCGUCUUUCUCAUGUACUUGGUUGAGCUAGCUAGUUUAAUGACCAAGUGAUCUUUGAACAACAUCUCCUAGUUCUAUAGGUCUAUUCCUCGUAUUCUACUUAUUUGAUUAAUUUUUCUUAAUUUAUUUGUUAAAGUCGGUUUGAAUAUGAGUGCAUAAACUAUCAGAGUGGUGGGAAAGAAUUUCGAAACUCCUAAAAUCAAUCUCACAUAUCCGGUUCUAACAGCUUUGCAAACCAUCAAGCUUAUUAUGUAUGAAUCAUGAACUUAGCCCUAUAAAUUACACUACGAUAUGUAUUAUAAAAUUGGAUGAAAGAGUAUAAAUGGACUCACAAUGCUUUCUUUUACUCAUAGAUUUUGUGUUUGUUAAAUAUAUGCAUCUUAUCUUGUCAGAUUUUCUAUAGUACUUUUUACAUUGCUACCCAUGUAUAGGAAGACAAGCAUAGAGAAAAAAUGAAUUUAUUAGCCCAUUGGAUAAAAUCUCAUACGGGUAAGGACGAAACCUUUCUGUUGUGGUAUGAGUCCAAACUUAGUCGCCUUAUUAAGCUAUUUUUUGGUGAAAAAGAUAGGUGUGAUUGAUACCACUCUUAGCUUGAGGGGGGUGUAGAUCUAGUCCAUAACUCUGUCAAUAAAAGCAGGACCUCGUAAUAAGUUUAAUCUGUAAGCUAGCCUGGAAAUGAAGUCUUCUGAUAACUUUUUGGUGUUCUCUUCUUUAUUGUAUAAGCAAAUAGUACUAUAGAAUGGUUCUGCAAAUUCAUGAAGUUCUAAAGUUAAAACGAUGGGAUAAUAAUAUGCUAUGCAAUACAAGAUGUAUGCUAAAUUAUAACUUUUAAUAUGCUAUGCAAUACAAGAUGUAUGCUAAAUUAUAACUUUUUAUUUCAUUGAAAAAAAAAAGUGGUAUUCUACCGCAAUGGUUACCAAACUCCACAAAACCUGAACAACCACUUUUAUUUAUCAUAUACAUGUCUGGUUGUUGAUUCUUGUUUUUGUUAUGGAUGCAUUGUAUUGGAGUUGUUAUUGUAGCUUAAAACUAAGUGCUGGCACCAAAUACGAGUUCUGCUCUUCCACUUUUAUUCCUUGUCAAAAUUUACAGGUUCUGCUCUACCUGAUCUGCUUGUGCUAUUUUCGAAAUAGUUUAUAAGCAUUGGAAUAAAAUAGAUGAUAUCAUGCUGCCAUUUUUAUUAAUUGUUACUAUUCCUUUUAGGUUGUUACUGUAAUCUACGGAAAUUGACAAGAGAGAAACGAAUGACUGCCAUAAAGCUAAGGUUGCUAGAAAGGACAUCGAGUUGGGAUCCUAUAUUUAUUCGACGCCCUGUUGCUGCUCCAUCAUUGAUCAUGUAUUUUUUUAGAUAAUGUUUUUGCUGAGUAUUAGGUUUUUAUAUGUGAGGGAUUUUUUGAUGUAUGUAUACCUUUGUAAUUGAUAUUUGUAUAUUCUUAUUUUUGGAAAUAAAACAUGUUGCUGCUAGCUUGUUAUGACA
Long non-coding RNA from Spinacia oleracea (spinach), 2658 nucleotides. RefSeq lists it as uncharacterized. Lineage: Eukaryota; Viridiplantae; Streptophyta; Magnoliopsida; Caryophyllales; Amaranthaceae. The transcript is spliced from 6 exons. The record is from RefSeq and is a predicted model, not a curated record.